Molecule: long non-coding RNA, 573 nt
Organism: Myiozetetes cayanensis
Lineage: Eukaryota; Metazoa; Chordata; Aves; Passeriformes; Tyrannidae
Exons: 3
Source: RefSeq, a predicted model, not a curated record
UUAUCCAUCCUAAUGUGCAAUAUAUCAUUUUCUAAUAACACUGGGUUAGCCCUAACGCUGUGCGCUGCUCCCUUCGAUAGCAGGUAUCGAUUUCACACACUGUCCGAGCUCUGGCUUUCCACCGAACACGUACCUCCUGCAGCACCAGCUGAGCUCUGUGUAUUUACCUCUUCCUAAAGCCCAGGGCUAUGGACGGACCCCUGACACUGUGGCCUUUAGUUUUUCCAUCUGUCAUCAUUUAAUUUGGCAAUUCCUUCGCCGAAUGAAGACUAAUCUUUCGCAUCGCUGCAUUUCACUCCGUGCUGUGAUCUGGAGAUGGAAAUAGAUGAUGCCAGGUCUGUAAAUCCCUCGUGCUGACGGGGAUGGCACCUGGAAAUCUGCAGAGUCUGGACUGGAGCAUCUCGCUACAUCCACAGACAGCUCUUGCAGAAGAGGGCAGUGGACAUUGGAGUUGGGACAUUUGCACUUGUCCCAAUGCAAGCUGUUGUGGAAGAGGGCAAGGUUUUGACUGUUGAGAGACCUGCGUUCAUUGUAAACAAACAUCUGAGGACAUUCUACCACCUUGAGUGUGAC